Molecule: long non-coding RNA, 19409 nt
Organism: Columba livia (rock pigeon)
Lineage: Eukaryota; Metazoa; Chordata; Aves; Columbiformes; Columbidae
Exons: 3
Source: RefSeq, a predicted model, not a curated record
UAUAUUACAUACUUUCUGAAUAGUGUAACAAUUAACGUAGCACUCAUCAAAUCUUAAACACAAGCGUAUCUGAAGGAAAAAGUAUUUACUAAGAAAAACCAGAAAAACUGAGUAACUAUGUCAAGCAGCACAAACCAUUUUAAGAGAGCAGCACUGAACUUACAAAACUGGAGUGGGAAGAAGAAGAAAACCAGCUUCUGAUUGCAAAAGUGGAUACAAGAGUUUACUAAGUAAACUACAAAGGUAAAACUCUCCACAGGGCUACUAUGAAAUAAGGAGAAUGACAGAAUGGCCCCUGUCAAGGCUUCCAUCCUGGAACUUGCCACUGUGAAUCAGGACUUUCAAACAACAGAAGAUGAAUGAAAUAAUGCAGCACUCCCAUGCGCAGCAUGAUGGAAGUUCUGAUCUCCACUAUUAACAGGAGGCACAAGGUGAGGGAGCACAGGCAGGAAGCCUCCUGCAGUCUUUGCAGAAGAGAAGUUUGAAUGAGAGCAGGCACUGACGAAAUCUGGAGGAGCAAACGCUGUUGUAUCGCUAGUAGAAAUCUUGCCCUGAUUUCUUCUUCGAAUGCCUAUUGAAUUGCCAACAUUCAUCUGCAUCUCUUUUGAUGCAGAAGAUUUUUGAAAGGAAAAAUAUUGCUUGCAAAUGUUGGAAACUGCUUUAUGUCAUUAGUAAUGAGGAAACACAAACUCAUGAGCACUGGUAAUCUUGGAAGUUUUAUGUUGUUGGUUACUCUAAGAGCAAGGAACAGAUGACCUCCUUCUUAAACUUAUAACUAUAGCAAUAAAUUCAAUUGUUCCAGGCAGACCCAAUGGGGAAACUUCAACAGAACCAGCUACUGAAAAUAUGCUAAUUGUGUUCUCACGUAGAAGGAAACUAAUCAAUGAAUAGGGAGAUCAGGUAGAGCAGAGUAAAAACUGUCACAGUAAGUGCUCAGCAAGGGCUAAUAGCAGGAAUAGACAAUUGCAAAUUGUUCAGAAGCUUUAUUGCAGGUCAGGACAUCCAACGUAAGUGUCAUGAACUGACAAUUUAGGAGGUCAUAAGCCCUCUUCUCCACCUUGAUUUUUAUACAGAGAUUCCUGGUGCUAAACCUUUUUUCUGGGAAGAGGAGUGAGGAAUGUGGUUGCCCUUCAGAAGGUGCUGAAACAAUUUGCACCAGUAGCUGCUAUAGGCUUCUGAUCGCUGCACAUAGUGAACCAGCUGAUUAUGUAAAUUAAAACAAACAAACAAACAAAAACAAAACAAAACAAAAAUAAUAAUAAAAACAAAACAAACAAAAAAUAAACAAACAAACAAAACAAAACCCAACAACAACAAAAACAACCACCAUCCUGGAAGAACUUAAUCUUAAUUUGAAAAGUUUUAUCCUGUCAUCAUUAGCAUCCACUAACUGUCGGCAGCGAGGACCCCAAUGAGCUCUGCCAUCUUCUCCCUGCUCUGCAGAGUCUGGCUGCCAGUGCCCCUGACCAGCCCCGAUGGUGCUGGAUCGGCUGCUGGGAAAGAGCCACAUGAGGAUGAGAGCUGGGAUGUGGCUGUCUCUGGUCACUGCCACUGUCCCUGUCCUGCUUACCUGGUGUGGGUGCUGCAGGGCUGUGCCCUUGUGGGUGGCAGCACGGCCCCACCAGUCCCCAAGAGCAGCCCGCUGCCAUGGCUGCUUGGCAUGGGAUGUGGGUCUGUGGGCACGGCGUGCCACCGAGGAGGUGGCCACUGAGUCUUUUCAUUGAAAAUUUCCAAUGUCUUCACACAGGUCUGGGUCUGAAGGAGCUGCACGUGGCUGCAGCCCCACUUGGGUCAGUGGAGCAAAACUAAUCUAAGCCAGAUGGGAUGCUGAUCUAUCUGCCAAUUAAAAAAUACUCAGGCCACCAUCAGGCAUUCAAUUCCAACGCAUGCUGUGGUUUUAUGACUCCUCCAGACUAGCCUGGCAUCCUUCCAUGUUAGCUUAUAAUGAAAGUAAAUUAGAUGUCCACUUUUUCUUCAGUAGCUCUUAACAUAUUGAGCAUUUAAUACUCCAGUAUAAUGAUUUACAAGGAACUGUUCGGUUUUGUACAUGAACGACCAGUAGCAAAUCCAGUUUUCUGGGACAGUUAGAGUGGAAAAUAUUUUAAAGCAGUAUCUUGUUAAUAGUUUAUCCUGCAUUUGUUUUUGAGCAGUUUUAGGGCAUCUAUUCUAUUGCUGGUUUGCUGAAAAAGACAGUUUCUCAGUCCUGUCUUCCUUGCAGAAGCCAACAACCAUUUCAUACAGCUGUUUACUACAUGUCAGAUGGUCUGUUAAAUAUCAUUUCCAUCAUCCUCCUUUUCAUUUCAAGGGAAGCUGUUUUGCAAUUAUUUCAGUUCCUCCUUCUGAUUUUUAAAAUACUUUUGCACAGGCAGUCCUCUUUUAUUUUGAGCUUCCAUGUUGCUAGACAUGCACACAGAUUACACCACCAGAAUGACUAGCCUUGGUUUUUAGCUGCUGUGUUUGAAGUACUUUAGAGACCUGAUAUUCAGAGUCAUUCAUUUUGUUUCAAAACUAAAGCACCCAAAAAUCACAAUACACAUUUGAAAAUGUUAACCUACAACUUUGGGUUACAUUAUUAAGUAAUUAAUAUUAAAAUUGCCACUGGAGUUGCCCAUAUUUGCAUUUCUACACAGUUAUGACAUGAUUCAUUUUUACCACUUCAAGGUGUGCAGUGUGUUUUCUUCUCCAGAGACUGUUAUUUAGUUAGUAUGCAGAGAUCUGGCAACCUCAGGGCGUCAUCAUAACAGGCUCAGAUAAGGACAAAAACAAAAAUACAGAUGAUGCACUGUUAACUCUUCUGUUAAUUUGAUGCUAAAUGUCUAUUACAACAGCUUUGAUUAUGCUCAAAUAUUUUCUUUGUUAAAACCUUUAAAAUCUGGAUGGCAACACUUCCUCUUUCUGGUCACGUUAUUCACAUUUACCAACAGUGGGUUGCAGCAUCCUUCUCCAUCUGAGAACACUAGCAUGCACAAAACUUCAUUAUACAGACAAUUGCAGUAUAUGAAGAAAUCAUCUAAGUUUUUUAUGUAUCUAUAGCUAUUAUUAGCUUCAUAAUCUUCUCAAUUAUCCAUUUUAAAAACGUCUGCUUCUGGGUGAUUGGGUCAUUUCUGCUCCAUGAGGUACCAAACAAACAAGCUUAUACUGAUUUUAAGCACACAAGAAUCAACACUGAAACAGAAGGGGUGGUAUAUAUGUUUCACACAAAGCAUAUUCAUAAGCACUUUGCUUGAAUAGGAUGCAGAUGCUCGUCUUCUGGCAGAAUGAACUCCAUGAUCACAAAAGGGAUUUUUGUCUCUGUUGUUUAUUAUCUAAAGGUUUCCAAGGUGAGGUUUCAUGUUUGUUUUCAUAGAGUUCAGCUUUAAGUGGACAUCGAUACAAACUGACCUGUGGAUAAACUCGGGGUAUUGUCUUAAGGGUAGGAGCGUUAUUAAACUGCAUCUAGGUCUGGUGCUGUCUUUCACCAACAGAUGUACAGAAAUAAAUCCAUCUUCUCCCACUUCCACAUGAGGCAAUGGCUUCUGGUCAGUGUAACAUCCAGUAAUUAGGCUGCUUUUGAGCCAAUAGUCUACGUUUAUAGAUCAGUAGGUUGGAUUUCCCUUAGCUAGACAAGAUUUUUUAUUAUUUAUAUAUGCCUCUUGGAGCUUUUGCAUGUAAUUAUCUGGAUAUUUGUCCCUCAUGUCCAAGCUCAGAGUGGAAUGCAAACCAGACCAAGAACACAAGUAGAAACUAAACAUUUGUGCAAGAAAAUACCAUGUUACCCAAAGGCUUCAACAAAAAGCAGAAAUCUCACACAUCGCAACUACAGAUGUCUUUACUCAAGAAUGGGAGCAGAGAAGAAAUAUUUACUAAACAGCAAAAGCUUCUAUUACAAUUUUGGAAGAAAAACUUAGUCAUGUGCUUUCCUCUUUCCAGUCAGCAUGACAGUACCUCUCUAUACAAUUUUUGAGGUUGCAGAGGGCUUGCUUAUUCUGUAUGUUUUACUGCAUUCACAUCAUCCGCAGUGUUCUGCUGUUAAUGCAGCAGCAACCAAUGGAAAUUUUCACAGACCAUUUGAUUUUACAUUCCAGCCCCCUCUUAUGUGUGGACUUGGAGUGCGGUCUGAAGACUUGGCACUAGACUAAUGUUUAUAUUACUGCAUAUGCCUACGUGGUGUUGCCAGUCCCUCCAAAUUUCAAAGGUUUUGUGUCUGGCACAGAAGAAUCUCAUGAUUUUAAACCAGAAUUUGCCUUUUUGACCCUUCUGCUAGGCUUUGCCUGGCAGCAGCAUUGGCUUCAACUUGUAGAGGUCAAGCGCUUAACAAACUCUGUUUUUUCACAGUAAGCAGUGGAAGAGGUUUAAUUAAACAAUACUUUAUUGUAGAGGAGGGAAAAGAAAAAAAAAAGAGGAAGCAAAUGAUUUAUCAAAAGAGCUGAAGAGAAAUGCUUUCUCCAUAGUCACUGAAUGAUAAUGUGAGUCACUUCCGAGGGAAGGGCUGUGAGGGUGUGAACAACAGCUUCCUCACAGUUCAUUCUCCUCUUUAUUUCUCAAACCCAGGUGUACCUUCACUUAUUGAAGCUACUGGUUAACCAGUCCCAGCGCUGUUUUGCUUAUGCUCUAAUGAACACGUGUUUAAGGAAUACAAGGAAUUGGAUUAAAUGUUUUUUUAUCCAUAGAAGAAGCGUAAGUUAUUUAUUCCAAUUGGUGACCCCGACGUGAUAGCCUUGGAUGGUUUUGUGCUAUCCCAGGCUCAAGGGGGGCGCCCCACUUUAAUAGUGGCCCUUGGACUUGGGUAUGCAGAAAGCUACCAACGCUAUAUAAAAUUAAAGCAUAAGCAAAAGAAUUGAGCUCCCUGAGGAUUACUGCAGUACACCCGUAAUUCAACGUGCACGAAGACCCCAGCAGGAACAGCGGACUAAACAGCUGUUCGGACUGCAGAGAAAGGAUGGACACACGCAUCUCGAGUUAAAGGACCCCUGAUGGAAGAAAGAACCUGGAAAGUAACUCAAGGACCGGGGGAGUUGAAAUUGAAAUUAACACAGGAUCGGUGAUGUAACUACUACCAGGAUUGUUAAUAUGAAUGUCCAGUAUAAAGGAAAAUAAGAAUGGUUUAAUAAUUAAGCAUGUUGAACUAAGUCAUAUGUGUAAUUCCAUUAUUUGUAUUUGGUGUUUAGGUCGUAAUGGACUGUGAUAUAAGCAUAUCCACAAAGGGAACUUGCUAACAGGAUUGGGAAUUCUAGCGGCCACUGGAGGAAUAUUUAAAAAAAAAAAAAAAAAAAAAAAAAAGUGAAGAAUGAUGGGAGGUACUUACUAAAGGGGUGGAUGGUAACUUAGAGAGUCCACCAGUGAUAGGAAGAAUAGAGGCCCAUGUUGUCCUGUUGCUCCUGGGGAGUGAAGGCCGAGAGUUUGGAAUACGAUAAAAAGUCACCACCUAACGGCAAAAACAGGAAAGGCGGGGACACUACCCUUGCUGCCGAGAAGAUGACGAACUCGGCUGCCAGCUGCAACCUGGUAGGCCAGAGAGGCAGAGGGUGUAGAAACCUGGACCUGAUCCUCUUGCUAGGAGUGGUGACUUAUUGUUCCCAACUUAGCCUGGCCAAUCCCUGUACCAAAUGCUAUGAGCGCGUGAGAAUAGGACGACUGACACAAUAUGUUCUCAGUUAUCACACUCAUGUUAAUUCUGGGUGUUAUGACAGAACAAAAUUGGAAAAAUGUGAAAUCCAAGGGCAGAAGUUAUGGGUAGCAACUAACCUAGGGAAAGGUGGACUCGGUGUAGGCUUUGUCUCCUGCCCUAGAGGAGAACAAAAUAUCUGUUUUACACAAGCUGGUAUGUGGGGCUAUUCAGAUGGAGGGGGAGUACAAGAUCAGUAUAAGGAGGAGUUAGUUAAGAAUGCCACUCAGGAACUGAAAAGGAGGCAAGAGAAACAGAAAUUGGUACCGAAAAAUAGUGAUUGGUAUGAAGAAAUAAGGAAAAAAGAUAAGGGAUUACAAUUACCAACAGUGGGGGAAAAACCUGUUUAUAGAUCUUAUGGAAAAGAUAGCCCGGGAGUUAAAUGUCACAUCAUGCUGGAUAUGUGGGGGGUCUCAAAUGGCAGAACAGUGGCCUUGGAGAGGAGAGAGUGUAAGCCCAGAAGGAUUACUGGUAUGGAACAGAACUCAUGUAACUCGGGAAAAAAGACCAGAAGGAUGGGUAUUAAGUCACUUAAUAAUAGGGCAGAUAUGCAUAUCAAGGGAUGAUGGUAAACUGGAUUUUACUGAAUAUGUUGGGCAAACCCCUUGUAAGUUAGUGUUACAAGUAAAUUCAUCAAAAACCUCUAUUCCUCCCACUUGGUGGCCAGGUCCACCUAAUGGAUAUUGGUCUCGAAAUUGUAGCCUGGGAAAUGAAACGAUAUGCUGGAAGAAUCGAAGCAAAGCAAAUCCUUUUGAGGAAAUUGGGGAUUUAAGGAGAUAUUGGCAGAAUCCUGGCUCUACCGAUGUAAACGAACCAUGGAAAGCUCCCGAUGGAUUAUUUUGGAUAUGUGGGAAUAGAGCUUAUAAUGAAUUAAUGCCCAAAUGGAGAGGGUCUUGUACAAUAGGGAUAAUUCAACCAGCAUUUUUCCUUUUACCAAAGGAAAAAGGGAGUCAUCUGGGGAAACCUCUGUACGAAACUUUAAACAGAGAGAAGAGGGGUUUAAUAAAUGUCCCCAUAGGAGGAACACAAACUUGGAAAGAUGAUGAAUGGCCUGCGAAGAGGAUAAUUGAAUACUAUGAUCCAGCCACCUGGGCCCAAGAUGGAAGCUGGGGAUACCGUACCCCAAUAUAUAUGCUAAACCGAAUUAUCCGGUUGCAAGCAGUGGUUGAAAUAAUAAGCAACCGGACAGCUGAGGCACUGAAUCUUAUAGCAAGACAAUUGUCUCAGACCAGGGCUGCAGUGUACCAAAAUCGGGUAGCCUUAGAUUAUCUUUUAGCUGAAGAAGGGGGCGUCUGUGGGAAAUGGAAUACUUCUGAGUGUUGUUUGGAAAUAGAUGAUAAUGGAGAAGCUAUAAUGAAAAUAGCAGAGGAGAUAAAACGGGUGGCACAUGUACCAGUACAGAAAUGGAAUUCUAUACUUACUAGCCAUUGGUGGGAUGACUUAUUUGGGGGAGCCUGGUGGAAGAAAAUAGGGUUCAUGAUAGUAUGUGCAUUUCUUGGUUUACUGUUUGUACCAUGUAUGAUCCCGUGCUUUAUUCGGUUAAUACAUUCAGUAGUCCAAGGCAUGCAAAUCUCAGCCAUGCCUAUAGAUCCUGAAAUGGCAACAAAAGGAACAGGGUAUAAAUUGAUGAUUUUAAAAGAUAACACUAAACUGGACCUAGCCGCCGCUAGGCAAGUACUAGCUAACUUUGAGGCCAAAGCACGAAUCAAUAGGAUAAAAAGAAAACGGGGGAGUUGUGAAAAAUGCAGUUGUGAUUCGUGCUAAGAUGUUUAAUGUUUACAGAUAUAACCAAAUGAGGCACGGGCUCUGAACUUGGAAAAAGGUGGUUAAGUUCUAUGUAAAAAGUUAUGAAACUUGCUUAUGAAGUUAUAUUGAUAGAAGGAACUAACAUUUUAAGGGUUAACUAAACUUAUAAGGGGUGCCUACUAACAAGCUAACACUUUAAGGCUUAGUCACACAAUAAAUGCUUAGUUUAGAGCUUUAUGUUAAGAAGAACAGAACCCCAUCGAAUGCCAAGAUAAGAAGUUUUACUGCACCUAGCUGUAAACUUGAGGGACAAGAUAACGAAGAUUUACAGCAAAAGGGGGCGCCAGUCUGGUUUCAUUCAACUUGGCAGCUUGGGUCCCAGUCAAUUCAACAUAAUGAGCCAAAGGUAAAAAGUUCACUGUGAUGAAGCUGAAGGAGCCUUCAUCCAAAGACCCCCAAAGACCCCUCCUCAAAUUCACCAAGUGGCACUGCGCAGGCGCAACAGGGGAGGGUCUAUGGAAAUGGUUAUCUGAGACUCAUUUUAAUCAGAAGCGGGGAAAGGUUAUGAAUAUGUAUAGGCGUUCCUGGGGUCAUUAUGAAUAUGUAACACUUUACUGUAUUUAAGCACACUUUUUAUUGUUUAAAGGUGUGCGUGUUGGGCGGAGUGAAUCCCCCGCGCACCCAGCGCUGUUUUGCUUAUGCUCUAAUGAACACGUGUUUAAGGAAUACAAGGAAUUGGAUUAAAUGGUUUUUUAUCCAUAGAAUAAGCGUAAGUUAUUUAUUCCACUUUCCAUGGCCUUACCUGCUGGUGGCAAAGCCCAUGGGCCUCCUGAGAGCAUCCCACUGCCCCAGCUGUCCCAUCCAGUUGUGACCCUGAGGUGGGAAUGUAAGAAACACAUGAAGAAGAGGGGAUGUGACAUGGACUGUCAUCCACAGUGACACUCAGGAGCUUUGUAUAAACCAGCUGGACCAGGGCCACGUACAGAGAAGUCCAUAUAAACCUGGACAGGAGAGGGAGUUUCCGUAGGUCUAUUGCCUCCCAUAUUACAGAAACAAGACAAAAAUAGCCUCAACUUUUUUCCCUUUUGCAUUUUCUAAAUUUCCUCCCAUGCCCACUUCCCUUUCUCGAAAUCCACAUAUAUAUGUUAUCAGAAACACAAGGAAACUGAUUUUGUUUAGUAGGCAGUUUAUUUCAAAACAGAAGAUGGGCCACAAAGUAAGAUGUAAGAAACAUUUAGUAGUUCAUAUGUGUUGGCAUCCAGUGAGGCAAUUUCAGCUGUCAUAAACAAAUAAGCGAUUAGAAAAGCAGUUAAUUCAAAACAGCAAUAUGCUGACAGAGCUUUGCAGGCAUAAAAGAAGUCUUGUAAGCACCUCCAUAGCUGCUUAGUCAGGGUUCCUGCUUUUAGAUUACGCUUUCACAGUGCACAAGCAAACCACCCGAGAGGCAAGGUUUUGCUAUACACGUGCAGCUUCUAGAGUCCUGGGAAGUCAUUCUCAUUUGUGAGUGGGCAAAGGUAAAAAGAGGAACAAGGAGCUCAGGGCACUGAGCAGGGUUUUACAAGGUCAGCCUUUCUCCCCUAAUGCCAGCAAGUGCAGCCGCAGCUGCUCACACCACCUUGGACCUCCCUGAGAAUUCUGGUGAGGUCCAGGCUGGCUUCCUCAUGGGCAAAGUCCACAGGAGGCACAAGGUGAGGGAGCACAGGCAGGAAGCCUCCUGCAGUCUUUGCAGAAGAGAAGUUUGAAUGAGAGCAGGCACUGACGAAAUCUGGAGGAGCAAACGCUGUUGUAUCGCUAGUAGAAAUCUUGCCCUGAUUUCUUCUUCGAAUGCCUAUUGAAUUGCCAACAUUCAUCUGCAUCUCUUUUGAUGCAGAAGAUUUUUGAAAGGAAAAAUAUUGCUUGCAAAUGUUGGAAACUGCUUUAUGUCAUUAGUAAUGAGGAAACACAAACUCAUGAGCACUGGUAAUCUUGGAAGUUUUAUGUUGUUGGUUACUCUAAGAGCAAGGAACAGAUGACCUCCUUCUUAAACUUAUAACUAUAGCAAUAAAUUCAAUUGUUCCAGGCAGACCCAAUGGGGAAACUUCAACAGAACCAGCUACUGAAAAUAUGCUAAUUGUGUUCUCACGUAGAAGGAAACUAAUCAAUGAAUAGGGAGAUCAGGUAGAGCAGAGUAAAAACUGUCACAGUAAGUGCUCAGCAAGGGCUAAUAGCAGGAAUAGACAAUUGCAAAUUGUUCAGAAGCUUUAUUGCAGGUCAGGACAUCCAACGUAAGUGUCAUGAACUGACAAUUUAGGAGGUCAUAAGCCCUCUUCUCCACCUUGAUUUUUAUACAGAGAUUCCUGGUGCUAAACCUUUUUUCUGGGAAGAGGAGUGAGGAAUGUGGUUGCCCUUCAGAAGGUGCUGAAACAAUUUGCACCAGUAGCUGCUAUAGGCUUCUGAUCGCUGCACAUAGUGAACCAGCUGAUUAUGUAAAUUAAAACAAACAAACAAACAAAAACAAAACAAAACAAAAAUAAUAAUAAAAACAAAACAAACAAAAAAUAAACAAACAAACAAAACAAAACCCAACAACAACAAAAACAACCACCAUCCUGGAAGAACUUAAUCUUAAUUUGAAAAGUUUUAUCCUGUCAUCAUUAGCAUCCACUAACUGUCGGCAGCGAGGACCCCAAUGAGCUCUGCCAUCUUCUCCCUGCAUGCACCCAGAGGAAAGGGCUCCUGUGAAGGUUUACAAAGAGCCUUUCAAAGCCAUGAGCUGCAAACCUUCCCCCGUGUCCCCCUUGGCUUCCCCGCUAAAAUAGGUGGGGCACAUCCCCAGCCCAAGGGAAAACUUUGAGGCUGCAACCUUGUUGCCUGCAACUGGUUGAGUUCAGACGGCCAAGGGUUGACUGAGAGGAUUUUUCAUUUUAUUCAGCACAUGAUCUGAAGGAAGGUCUUUGCUGAGUUGUCUGGAACUAUCUCAAGCAGAGAAAAAGGUUCGAGAAAGCCCAAGAGAUCUGAGCUGAAAACUCUGACUGAACAAGAAUAGCAUUAAGGUACAGACAGGCACUAAGGCGUGUUAAGAAAUACUGCUUGUAACUGGUGGGACUCAUCUGAAGAGUGGGAUCCUCUCACCCUGGGCACUCACUGAGAUGCCUGCACAGACACUGCAGAGCCUGGACUGAAGAAAUAACAUAGAUGGGUCUUUUCAGCAGGAGUUGGUGUCAUUUUGGAUCACAUGGUCUCACUAAGGGGAAAUAAUAAGUUUGAGAGACCUCUUCAGAAGACAUGCUCAAAUACAUUUAUUUUGUAAGUGCUUGACUUCUGCAGGUCUCUACCUGAAGUCAUGGGCAGCCGAUCUGACUGUCUGAGAUCUGUUCUCGGACUCUCCAGGGUGCCUGAGGGUGCUGCUUUGGGAGGGCCAUGGGGAUUCGGAUGUGUCAGGACCAGUGGUGUGACCUUCCUUCACCCAUACCCUCUGUGAGCCAGGAGAGCAAAUAGUCAGCAACUAAGGACUUUGGGCUUAUGUGAGGAACACAGCACGUGCCCCGGUCCUCCACACUGGCACUUUUUAACUUUCUGUCCCCUGCUAGCUAGAGUUGGGCUGUGGGAAGCAUGCUGCAGGGCUGGGGGGGAUACCCCAGCCACCCCAAGGACCCCACAGCCCCACUGAGCAUUGGCCAUCUUCAUGGUAGGUCCCAGAAGUAGUGUAGACAGAACAAGGGUGCUCUUGUGCCAAAAGCAGGUAUAACCCCUUAAAGCCUCCCCAGCAUCCCUCUCCACCUGCUUUUUAUGAAGCACAACAUGAAAUCUUCUCAAUGUCAUUCCACUCACCGAAUAUAAAAAUGAAUAUUUCUGCUGACAGUCAAUAGAUUUAGAUUUCUCCUUUCAGUGGUGGCUGUGGUUUUUUGUUUUGUUUUUGUUGUUUUGAUUUUUGUUAUUUUGUUGUUUGUUUGUUUUUGCUUUGUUUUUUAUAUGUUUGUGGGUGGGGUGUGUUGUGGCUUUGUUGUCAUCGUUGUUUGUUUGUUUUCCCGGCUGUUUCCCCUCAUUAGCUCACAGCGCCUCCCAGCAGGGUAAAUUUUAUACCAAUGUGUGGGCUAAAGGGAGGCUAAAAGUCUACCAAACACCUCAAAGCAAUGAACAAACAAGCAGGCAGAGACAUGCUGGGCAGCCCCUGUUUCCUCUGGGUUAGCAACAUACGUGUUAUCAGGAAAAAAUCCUGCAUAUGACCUUUCACACUGCACAGCCUCGCUCCAAAAUUUAUGAGAAGUAAGCAGCUACAUGCAGUUUUGACUCCAGCUCGCAUUUAAUGUAUAAUCCUCCCAUGCCUACUGCCAGCUGCCAGCGAACCUCAAACCGUGGGCUGAAUCCUCAUGCACACAAAGAGAUGCUGGAAGUUCAGUUGCCCUGCUGAGGCUUGCGUGCACCAGCCGGUGGGAUUUUCCAGCUGUCAGUCCUGCUCACAGAGCACACAGCACUUGCCCUUCUUAUGCUGCUAAUAUCCAGCAGGAUCUCCCCACUGCCCAGAUUUUCCUCCAGUUAAGCUCUGGCAUACCCUGAAUGUUUGAGAUAGUCCAAUGAGGGAAGUAUUAAUCCAGUCUUGCUUUUAAAUAAACGCUUCCUACCAAACUCUAAAAAGGAAGAAGCAGUAUUGUCAGGCAAAUACACAAAAUUAUGCAAGAGGCUCGGCUGGACAUAUUUACUUUUGUUGCUAAAAUAUGUAGCUGGACAAUAGCCAUGGCAGGCUUCAACAUAAGUAAUAUGAAACAGGUUUUAUGUUUAUGUGAAGACAUUGAUAAAAGCUCAGGGAAUGUUUUUUUAAACAAUUUUUUAAUAUAGAUGUCCAUAAAAUCACAAGUGGUCUGCAGAAGAUGAACUGGGAAUGGUUAUUUAUUGUUCCUCAUAAAAGAACUAGGAGGCACCCAAUGAAAUUUUUGGCAAGCAGGCAAGCAAAAGAAAGCACUUUUCCAUGCAGUUAAAUGAGUUAAAUGCAGUCAUGUAAACUACGAAAUUCGUUGUCACAGGAUGUUGUGGACAUUGGGAGUAUAAACAGGUUCAAAAGAGUUAAACAGUCAUGAAGCCUAUUUCUGGCAGUGCCUUUAAAACAUUUUUGAGUGGAUGCAGCUUCCAACUCCCGAAAUCUAUAAAGUGCUGAUUUCUAUAACCUAGGAGAUCAUACCAGAGGAAAAAUCACUCCAUACUUCAUCUUUCUUAUGCUGUUCUCCUUAAACAAGGAGAAGAUACUGAAUGAGGUGGGCCCUCAGCUUGGUCUGCUCCUGGAGGCUCUUAAUCAAUUAUGUCUUAAUUAGCUACAUUGGUUUUGUCCCUGGCAGGUUGUAUGUCUUACAAGGCUCGGACUCAGAAGUGUAGCAUCUGGCUGGAAGGACACAGGAGCGCUCAGGUCUUGUCACAAGACACCGACUGGGAUUUCGGAGAAGUUGUGCACAUCCAGGCUCUGCCACAGACUCCUUGUAGGGCUCAUUUAGAAAUGCUGGCUAGAGGAGAGCAGUUUCCUCUUUGUCUAUCUUGUGAUUUUGACUACAGAGCUUUGUGGGGAAGGCAUAUGGAGGAUACACGAAACCUAGCAUCGUGGAGCCUCUGCAGCCUCUUUGGAGACAAUUAAUUUAAGAGGCAAGAGAACACUGGAUGGAAAGAAACCACACUACCUUCCUCCUCUGAUGGGAGGAUGGUGGAAGGUUGUGUUCCUUGCAAGAUGACGCUGGUCGUGCACCACAGAAACUACAGAUGCUAAGAGAACCAAAAAAUUACCAAUAUUAUGUAUUUUGAGAUUAGCAGGAAAUCCAGUGAAGUUUCCCAUCAUUAAAGGAAUAUGAAAUAAUAAUACUUUAGUAACUGACUUACAAUUAUGAUUUUCACUAAAGCCCUGAGCAUUUAGGAGUAUACUUAGCUACAUCCCUACUUUGCAGUGCAUUCCUAUGUCAGUUUAAUCUCCCUCAUUUGCACAAAUUGCCUUUGUUUAUCCUUUAAGUGAACAGUUGCUCUUGAAUGUGAUUGUAAGAUUUGGUCCUUAGACAAAGAAAGAAUUAGUGAUUGAAGACUGAUACAAGGUGUCAAAAUGACGCUGCUUAAAUUGGCAGCACUAAUUUCACACACACAUGCAUCACAUCAAUCUUUGCUUUUUAACCAUUUUAAAAGGUGACUCACUUCUGCACCAGGAAAAAAAUUUAGCCAUCAUCAUGGAUUUUGGCCAUACUGAAAGAAAAGAACAACAAAAAUUAGCGUCACAUAGCAAGCUAUCCACACUCUGCAUUUGCUAAGAUAACAUCCCAAAUAUGGCCCAGGAGGGAGGCAGGCAAACGUGAAGUUGCCUCAGUGAAGCCAUUUACACAAGCAAAUCGUCACCUUGCAGUGUGUAAAGCCAGAUGAAGCUCAUGUAACUGACCUGAAGAAAACAGUCACUUGUCUGCUGAGGAGCUGUUCAGGGGAUCAGAGCAAGAGAAAUCAAUAGAAUCAGCUUUUCUCCUGCAUUUUCAUCAUGAGAGCGUACAGGAAAUUAAAUAGAAUUUAAUGUAACGCCAUAAUACCAUACUGCCAUUUAAUUGCAUGGUAAUAUGUCAUAUAAAGCAUUCCCCAAAGUUUAGCCUGUUAGUUCAUUUGGUUAAUUGAACAUUUAGCACUUCCUCUCCUGUCUCUCUACCCUCUGUUCCCUCCUCUUCGAAAGAAAAAUUGAUCGAUUCAUUCAUUAUUGGCUCCUGCUGCAGAAUGAUUCACUCUUCCUUUCCAGGGCCAGUAUCCAAGUGUCAUUAUCUGUUUGAAGAAAAAAAUAAAUAAAAUAAAAUAAAAUAAUAAUAAUAAUAUGUUGAAAAAGAGGCUUUUUGAAGGAAAUCACAAGCUAAAAACCAUAACACUUGCAGACACCAGUACACUUCAGAUUUUCACACUAGCCUCCAUUUCUGCAACAAGCUAAACAAAUCCAUCACAUCUGAGCAUCCUUGCACUCAAGAGUUCAGGCUAACCUUCACUCUGCAAUUACUGUUUCAGUGGUUUUAAUGGUCAGGUCAGUUGGCUUAAUUACAUCCACCCUUCCAGCAGCCAGAGAGGAAGGCAGCUGGCCAGCACGCUCCCAGUGCGGGGCUACUGCUGCCUUCUCACAGAAUCACAGAAUGGCUGGGGUUAGAAGGGACUUCUGGAGAUCAUCUAGUCCAACCCACCUGCCAUAGCAGGUUCACCUGGAGCAGAUCGCACAGGAAUGUGUCCAGGCAGGUUUUGAAUGUCUCCAGAGACUCCACAACCUCUCUGGGUAGCCCAUUCCAGUGCUCUGGCACCCUCAAAGUAAAGAAGUUUCUCCUCGUAUUCAGAUGGAAUCUCCUAAAUUUCAGUCUGUGCCUGCUGCCCCUCAUCCUAUCACUGGGCACCAAUGAAAAGAGUCUGGUCCCAUCCUCUUGACACCCACCCUUGAGGUAUUUAUACACAUUGAUAAGAUCCCCUCUCAGCCUUCUCUUCUCCAGGCUGAACAGACCCAACUCCCUCAGUCUCUCCUCAUAAGAAAGGUGCUCCAGAUCCCUCUUCAUCUUCAUAGCUCUCUGCUGGACUCCCUCCAGUGGUUCCUUGUCCUUCUUAAGCUGGGGAGCCCAGAACUGGACGCAGUACUCCAGAUGUGGCCUCACCAGGGCAGAGCAGAUGGGGAAGACAACACCCUUUGAGCUGCUGGUCAAACUUUUCCUAAUGCACCCAAGGAUACCAUUGGCCUUCUUGGCCACAAAGGGCACGUUGCUGGCUCAUGUUCAACCUGUUGCCCACCAGGACUCCCAGGUCCUUCAGUGCUUCCCAGAUGUUGCCUUUUAACCCUUGCAAAGGUGGCCACAUGGGAAUAGGUGGAAAACAGAGAGCAUUGCAAAAAUCAAUGCAAUACCAUAAUAAUUUUGGCAAUUUUUUAAAGAACAUAAGCCCUGUAAAUAAUACCUACUACUUUUUGUAACUCAAAGUGCUCAGCUAGCUUAGGCAGCUGACCCUGGAGUUAAAAAAAAUAUAUAUUUCUAAAACCUGAUCUGGCAGUUUGCCUCAAAUUUCUGCCUGCAUAACAUUUGAAGUCCCAUAAAAAGGCAGAAAGUAGAGGACCACACACAGAGGAACCAUGACCAAAACUGGUGGAGUGCUUGUUGCAGGUGGCAAGAUGGGAUAGCUGUGCAAGCCUCACAGAGUGCAAUGUGCAAACUCUCUGAUUUCAAGCGAGAGCACUGGUCCAGUUAGCAAGUAGAGACAGGCUGGUUUAUGAAGAAGACAUUGCCAUGUUGCUCCAGUGGCUGCUUGAGCUGUGAACAACACUGUUUUUUCUUUUUCUUGAAAGACCACAAUAUGUCCUUGCUGAAAUGCAAAAAUCUGUUAUAGCUUAUUUUGGCCUCUCUUGGGAACCUUGAAACAAGACAAAUAUGACUACUCUGUCCACACAAGGCAGAGCAAAAACACACAACUGAAAAGUUGGAAGCUGUUCUCCCUGACCUUGGGGAGGAAAUUCCAAGUUCCUUUUAGCUUUGCACAGGUUUUCAGUUUUCUUGGUAGGUCGUUCACAUCACAAAGUCCUCCUGUGGUAACCCUGUUCAGCCAUGACCUAUUCCGGGUGGCUCUGGGGAGGGGAGAGGAAGCAGUCAGCAGCGUCAUUGCAGAGGCUGCUGACAGAAGAGCCCGUGACACCAGGUACAGGAGAUCCUCCCCAGAAUUAGGCAGGAGAGAUAGCAGCCUCAGAAGAAAGUCCAUCUGGUUUUCUCCUCUCCUCACCCACACCACUGAAGAGACAGCUACAAGAGGAACUCUGAAGAGACACAAACUAUAAUAGAAGCAGAGCUGAAGACCAAGAAUCAGCUGUUAGAAAUGGCCAAACAACAGCUAGACUCCAGACUAACGAGAGCACAGGGAAUUAUAAAGGAAUUAAAGGAGGACAAUGAAGGUCUGGUGCAAGAAAUUGAGAAGCACAAGCAAUUUCAGGAGAAUUGCAUGGUGAUUUUAGAGAGCAGAAACAUUGUUCCUGCUGCACGCAGAGUAUUUUGGAGGAGGAAGAAAAGACACAAGAAUGCUAGAAGCAGACAAUGCUGUUAAUUGAGAAGCUCAUAGAAGAAUUGAAGUAUAUUUUUAUUAUAUAUUUUUUAUGCCACUCUGCUCUGCUCUGGUGAGACCUCGCCUGGAGCACUGCAUCCAGCUCUGGAGUCUUCAGUACAGGAAAGAGAUGGACCUGUUGGAGAGGGGCCAGAGGAGGCCACCAAGAUGAUCAGAGGGAUGGAACAGCUCUCCUGUGAGGACAGGCUGAGAGAGUUGGGGUUGUUCAGCCUGGAGAAGAGAAGGCUCCAGGGAGACCUUAUUGAGCCCUUUUAGUACUUAAAAGGGGCCUAUAAGAAAGAUGGGGACAGACCUUUUAGCAGGGCCUGUUGUGAUAGGACAAGGGGUAAUGGUUUUAAACUAAAGGAGGGGAGAUUCAGGCCAAACAUGAGGAAGAAAUUUUUUAAAAUGGGGGUGGUAAAAUACUGGCACAGGUUGCCCAGGAGGUGGUAGAUGCCCCAUCCCUGGAGACAUUCCAGGCCAGGCUGGACGGGGCUCUGAGAAACGUGAUCUAGUUGAAGAUGUCCCUGCUCAUUGCAGGGGGUUGGACUGGAUGAGCUUCAAAGAUCCCUUCCAACCCAAACUAUUCUAUGAACUCUGGAAUAGGCAAUGAGAUAUUACUGCUUAAGACUCCCUGUGUGUGUAUGAAGAGCUGCUUAAGAAAUGUUCAGUUGAAGAAAUGAGAUUUGCCUUUGGUUUCCACUCACAAAGCCUGCAGUCACUCCUGUCUCUUAUAUAAGUGGUAUGGUCUAAUCCAUUCCUGUGGAUUUCCUCCUAAUGAUAACAACAUUGCUGCUCCAAGAGGAUGCAAGUGGUAAAAUAAGGAGCUGUUGUGGAGAGAAAGGAGUGACCCGUCCCAGGAAGGACCUUCCUAUCUGCAGAUGUGGAGCUGGGCUUUGCAUUUGUUGGUGAUCAGUGCUGAGUGUCAAUGUGAUGUGGCUGUGCUGCCUUGCUCAGGAAGCAGAGAAUGGAGCUGUUGAAAUUUGUAUUGAAGGGAGCUUUUUCCCAGUGUGUAAGUACCAGAACAAUUACAGCAAACUGCAGCUACUUCAUGAAUUGCUGAUGCUAAAGAUGCUCUGACACCGUGUCCGGAAGUCCAGCCUGCAGGCUAUUACAAGGUUGCCACUUUCUCAGCAGCUACAAAGUGAAGAAGUUCUAGUAGUCUUGAUUAUUAGGGUUAUUCAGAAGAAUUGUGGAGUCUAAAUAGGUCAAAACUCAAUAAAUAGGUCAAAACUCAAUAAAUACUUAGGUUAUAUGUGCAAUAUUUAUCAAGAUGUCAUUGGCGCAGGCACAUAUUAUCAAGAAUUGGGAGAAGAGGCUGAAUUCUUGUGCUGCAUAUUCCAGAGAGAUUGAAUGAUUGUCAGCGCUCACACACCAAGUUCGGUCUACAAGGAUGGCAAAUUCCUGCCAUUCCUCCUCACCCAGGUGCCUUUUGAAGAAAACCUAUACUGAACACCCUGGAGACUUUCUGCAGGAUGGGGCUGGAUGGAGGUGACCUGGUAGAUGUUGCUCCCCAGCGUUACAAGUGCUGCCUCUGCACCAUGUUCUGGCUGGUGGGAAUCCAGCAGUGAGCAGGAUGUGCUGGAGGCUGGGUUUUCCUGCUGGCAAACCUCUUGAUGGUAAAGCCCCUUCACAGGCAGUUGUAAACCAGAAAGGCAACAGAUUUUAGUUGUCUCUGAAGGAGAGGGCAUUUAAUGCUCUCAUUCUGUCUAGGUCUUUUCUAUGCAAAUUGGGCUUUUUUUUUUUUUUUUUUCCAAUGGGGAGACUUAAAAUCUAAUCAGAAAUGGCCUAUUACUGUCUUUGUUAUCCUGUUGGAAUGAAAUUUAGACCUCCAGAAGGUAAUAACCAAUAAAUAUCAUUAUCUCUUUCACAGGAGUAAAGUAGUCAGAAGUAAGAGGAAGAAAUACAUAGACUAAACCAUAGAUGAUGACUGGGAGCAAAGAAACAUUAAAAAGAUGAAGCAUACCAAUGUUCAGCUGCAUUGGCUCAUUUGUCAAAAUCAGUAGCUCUCUGAUAAGAAAACGCCAAAUUGAAGUGUUUGUAAAACACUAUGUAAAGGGUCUGUUUCUUCUGUGCUGUGAUGAACAGAACACUGUGUCAACACCACCUCAUGUCAAAAGAUUAAAAUAUGCAGUUACUUGAAGAGCUAUACCAUUUCUGUGUGUCAGCAUCGUAGGAGCAAUAAAAGGAAGAGAUGUAGGAGUACAGGUGGAUAGAAAAUAAAAUGCAGCAGCGUGAUUUAGAUAUGUUUAAAAAACAACUGACAAACCAACAGUGGGCAAAUGCUAAGAAAGGAUCAGACCAACAGUUGAGGAGACUGAACUUUCUUCCCACUUGUGAAGAGGAUCCAACCGCAGGGCCAAUGGAGAUGCUAACAGGGGUUCUGCCUUUGUCAAAUUAGCUUAGUGACUCAAGAAGAAGCUUCAGUUACCUUCAGGUGACUCACCUGCCAGAAGGCUACACAGCCGCAGGCACUCACACACAAUUAUAACAUGCGGAACAGAAAAAAUUCCUUGUUGAAAAGAGCACUUACUGAAUUCAACACGUUGGCUGAGGCAGUUGUUCUGCUACUGUAAGGAGAUUAAUUCCUCGCAUGCUAUGUUAUUACUUCUAAUGUUCUGCAGCAGGUGAAUCAUUCGGGAUUAGGAAACAUAAAUAAAUGAGAAUUUUUUCAUAUCUGAGUGCCUCUUUAUAGUUAUAAAGUCCUAAUUGUUCUUUGAAAUCUACUGUAGGGAGGGUCUCACCCACUGAAUGCUGUGCCUAAUCUAAAAUGGCCCAUGCUAACAUUUCCUGUAGCUUGAAAACAAAAUGAGAAGAGGAAAAAGAAAGGCCAAGGAGAGAAACAAGAGAAAAAGAGAGAAAUGAAGGAGAAAUUUGGUUAUAUUGUUGUUGAACCUUUGAAUUGCCACUUUUGAUCACUUUUUGAGAAAAAAGUAAAAUGGACAAAUGAGAGAGACUCUUUCAUGCUUAUUUCUAAACUAAUAUGUCUUAC